AAGGAUCAUUAGUGAAAUAACCUGGGACUUGACGUCCCAAACCAUCUCACAUCCACACACCUUUGUGCACUGUUGAAUGGGCCUGAGAAAAAAUAGUUGUAUUUUUUUUCAGUCCGUUCUAUUAUCUUAUAAACAUCUUAUGUAUGUAAGGAAAGUGUUAUUGGGAAAGAAAUGAAAAACUUUCAACAACGGAUCUCUUGGCUCUC
This 206-nucleotide unclassified non-coding RNA is filed under the name uncultured fungus. RNAcentral describes it as "partial contains 18S rRNA, ITS1, 5.8S rRNA, ITS2 and 28S rRNA". Lineage: Eukaryota; Fungi. The record is from RNAcentral.